RNAcentral lists this long non-coding RNA (757 nucleotides) under Equus caballus (horse). Its description in RNAcentral is "lncRNA (ENSECAG00000060382.1)". Lineage: Eukaryota; Metazoa; Chordata; Mammalia; Perissodactyla; Equidae. The record is from RNAcentral.
GGCAACCUAGACUGGUGGGAUGGUGUUUUUUAAUUUUAUUUAUCUAUACUUUAAAACUAUUCAAAAUUGUGCUUUAACUUACAUGGUAAAGGGAACAAAUACUCUGUACCACUGAAUGAAUUUUUAACGUAUAUAUCCACAUGCACUCUUGUACCCAUCUUCCAGAAUCUGAAAAAGGUGCCUCAUGCCUGCUCCCAGGCAGUACCGCCAAAGGUAACCACUGCUGACCUCCUUGCCACUGAAUGCUUUUGCCUGGUCUUGAACUUGGUGUGAAUGGAAUCAUACAAAUCACUGUUUCUCUUGGUGGUUUCUCAUUCUCACGGCUGUGGAUCUGCCAGUUGUUUCUGAUGGUGUGGGCGCUGGUGCCCUUCAGAAAGGCCUCUCUGAUUGACAGGAUUUGGAAGAUCUCCGGUUCAUUCAGCUGCACUUCUUGUCAUGGGAUAUGGCAGCGCGUCUCAAACUUGCCUGGGAACCGGACGCAGAGAAGCCAGGAGCCGGAGCCCAGAUUUGGGCACAACUUCUCCCUAGGGGUCUGCUUGUUCAGACGAGGCGUCGAGGCAACUGUCUGCACAGUCGUCAUCGUAACUAGAAAGUAGCGGGGGUACUGGAACAGCUUCGUUGCUUUAGAAUAGGCCGUCUCGCCGUUCAUCAUAUUUGAGACUUCUGUGAAACUACAUCGUGUGGAAGUUGGUGGCCUUUUGAGAAAAAUGUAAUGGUAUUCACAUUUCUUCCUAUACCACUCGGGGAUUUUAAACAA